This 683-nucleotide ribosomal RNA is filed under the name uncultured bacterium. RNAcentral's name for it is "bacterial SSU rRNA". It matches the Rfam family "Bacterial small subunit ribosomal RNA", at positions 73 to 753 of the family's 1533-position model. The record is from RNAcentral.
GUUGUAGCAAUACGGCUUUGAAGGCGGCGCACGGGUGCGUAACACGUAUGCAACCUACCUUUUACUGGGGAAUAGCCUCUCGAAAGAGAGAUUAAUACCCCAUGAUAUGUUUUGAAGGCAUCUUCAGAAUCUUAAAGCUCCGGCGGUAAAAGAUGGGCAUGCGGUUGAUUAGCUAGUUGGUGAGGUAAUGGCUCACCAAGGCUUCGAUCAAUAGGGGGUCUGAGAGGAUGUCCCCCCACGCUGGUACUGAGACACGGACCAGACUCCUACGGGAGGCAGCAGUAGGGAAUAUUGGACAAUGGGCGCAAGCCUGAUCCAGCCAUGCCGCGUGCAGGAUGACGGUCCUAUGGAUUGUAAACUGCUUUUGCACAGGAAGAAACAACGCUACGUGUAGCGUCUUGACGGUACUGUGAGAAUAAGGAUCGGCUAACUCCGUGCCAGCAGCCGCGGUAAUACGGAGGAUCCAAGCGUUAUCCGGAAUCAUUGGGUUUAAAGGGUCCGUAGGCGGUUUAGUAAGUCAGUGGUGAAAGCCCAUCGCUCAACGGUGGAACGGCCAUUGAUACUGCUAGACUUGAAUUAUUAGGAAGUAACUAGAAUAUGUAGUGUAGCGGUGAAAUGCUUAGAGAUUACAUGGAAUACCAAUUGCGAAGGCAGGUUGCUACUAAUGGAUUGACGCUGAUGGA